GGUUCGAUUAUGCCUGGGAUUUUCGAACGCUGGCGGGAUGCUUUACACAUGCAAGUCGAACGGUGUGCACGACUGGUCUGGUGGCGAGUGGAGAAACGGUAUAAUGUAUCGGAACGCCUAGUAGCGGGGAUAACUACGAAAAGGUAGCUAAUACCGCACACACUUCGGGGAAAGCAGAUCUUCGGCCUCUGCACUAUUAGAGCGGCCGAUAUCGAGCUAGUUGGUGGGGUGGCUCACUCAAGGCGACGAUCCGUAGCUAUCGAGAGGACGACCGGCCACAUCGGGACUGAGACACGGCCCAGACUCCUACGCCGAGGCAGCAGUGGGGAAUUUUGGACAAUGGGGAAACCCUGAUCCGUGCCAUCCUGCGUGCGAUGAAGGCCUUGGGUUGUAAAGCACUUUGGCAGGAAAAGAAACGGCACGGAGCAAAUACCUCGUGCAACUGACGGUACCUCGUGAAAGAAUAAGCACCGGCGACCAUAUGCCAGCAGCCGCGGUAAUACGUAGGUGUUAAUCGGAAUUCAUUGGGCGUAAAAGCGGUGCAGGCGGUCUGGAAAGAAAGAUGUGAAAUCCCAGAGCUUGAACUUUGGAACUGCAUUUUUAACUACCGAGCUGGAGUGUGUCAGAGGGAGGUGGAAUUCCGCGUAGCAGUGAAAUGUGUAGAGAGGAGGAAUAAUUGAUGGCGAAGGCAGCCUCCCUGAUAACACUGACGCUCAUGCACGAAAGCGUAGAGCAAACAGGAUUAGAUACAUUCUGGUAGUCCACGCCCUAAACGAUGUCAACUAGCUGUUGGGGCCUUCGGCCUUGUAGCGCAGCUAACGCGUGAAGUUGACCGCCUGGGGAGUACGGUCAAGAUUAAAACCCGUGCGAAUUGACGGGACCCGCACAAGCGGUGGAUGAAGGGAUUAAUUCAUGCAACGCGAAAAACCUUACCUACCCUUGACAUGUCUGGAAUCCCGAAGAGAUUUAUGCUCGCAAGAGAACCGGAACACAGGUGCUGCAUGGCUGUCGUCAGCUCGUGUCGUGAGAUGUUGGGUUAAGUCCCGCAACGAGCGUCCUGUCAUUAGUUGCUACGAAAGGGCACUCUAAUGAGACUGCCGGUGACAAACCGGAGGAAGGUGGGGAUGACGUCAAGUCCUCAUGGCCCUGCGGGUAGGGCUUCACACGUCAUACAAUGGUCGGGACAGAGGGCCGCCAACCCGCGAGGGGGAGCCAACUCAGAAACCUGAUCGUAGUCCGGAUCGCAGUCUGCAACUCGACUGCGUAGUCGGAAUCAUGCAGGGACUCCUGCGGAUCAGCAAGGUCGCGGUGAAUACGUUCCUGGCCUUGUACACACCGCCCGUCACCAUGGGAGUGGGUUUACCAGCGGAGCAGCCUAACCGCAGGAGGGCGAUUACCACUGUAGGAUUCAUGACUGGGGUGGUUGCAACAAGGU
This 1435-nucleotide ribosomal RNA is filed under the name uncultured Bordetella sp. RNAcentral's name for it is "partial 16S-23S ribosomal RNA intergenic spacer". It matches the Rfam family "Bacterial small subunit ribosomal RNA". The record is from RNAcentral. Lineage: Bacteria; Pseudomonadati; Pseudomonadota; Betaproteobacteria; Burkholderiales; Alcaligenaceae.